GAUGUUAUUUACUCGCUUGAGAAUAGGACAUACAGGUUUAUACUAUACACUGCACUGAAGAGGGAAACACCCAGCCGGUCCACCAUCCACUCAUGUAGGUGGCGGUAAUGCACUUGUAAGUGUGGUUUGCCAACCACCAUUGACCUCCAACGAAGAAGAAGCUAGAGCAGGGAUGCUUCAGCGUUUACUUACCAUAACGACGGCAGUUCAAACUGAGGUGAGGCGGUCUGCAGUAAACCGGACUAACCGACAGAAGGCCCUGAGGCGUAGUUGCACUUUUUUUCCUGCAGAUGACCCUGAUGCAGCAACACAACUAAACCAGGAUUGGAAACCUGUCCCAUCAUCUCAUCUUUGUAAAUCUCCAACAACUCGAAGGAGCUGCCCUCAAAUUCAGACUUCAGCACGAUCCAGUGACAGCAGACAAAUCUUCCCAUAUUUUAACCGUUAAUGCUGAAUACACUCAUUUAAUAUUGUAGUG
Long non-coding RNA from Pelmatolapia mariae (spotted tilapia), 478 nucleotides. RefSeq lists it as uncharacterized. The transcript is spliced from 3 exons. The record is from RefSeq and is a predicted model, not a curated record. Lineage: Eukaryota; Metazoa; Chordata; Actinopteri; Cichliformes; Cichlidae.